Molecule: long non-coding RNA, 639 nt
Organism: Neopsephotus bourkii (Bourke's parrot)
Lineage: Eukaryota; Metazoa; Chordata; Aves; Psittaciformes; Psittacidae
Exons: 2
Source: RefSeq, a predicted model, not a curated record
UUAAUAAUUGAUGAACAAUCAAAGUUGCACGGUGCUAUUGGUAUGACAAACUACUGGGAAGCUGCGCUAAAAGUAGGUCUGUCUUGGUAGUUCUGUAUUUCCCUCAUCCUAGUGCACUGGUUCUGGGAAGCCAGCACUAUUUUUCUCCUGUGAAUUUAUUAAUGAUAAAUGCUCUAUCACGCGGUGUUUUGCUUUUUGAAACUAGCCUUGAGCUAGGUCACACAGGGCAUAGAGAAGAGCACAGAACAGGCAGCAUCAGAAGUUUAUUUUCUGUAACAUUUUGUGAGAGAGAGUGAGGCAAGAGCUUCCAGCAAUGUAGGGAUUUCCCUGAUUUGAUACCAUUAGCAUUCAUCAUACACUUGGGUGUAUGGCAGCAGCUAGUCUGGAGGGACUUCCCCUCCCUUGAGUUUACCAUGGUCUCCAGGCAACAGCAAAUAUUUCUCCUGAAUACUCUGGAUGAGCAGAUGCCAACGUUGAUUCACAGGAAAAGGAUGUAGCCACGCAAGCCAUAGAAAUGUUGUUUGGGAUGGUAGCCACAGCCCCUAAGGAGACAUUAAGCAAUGUGGAACAAACGCCAAUGAAGUUAUUUCUUGAAGCUCUUGCUUUGUUUGCUAUAAAGAGAUUUCUUGAGCAGUCUUA